Molecule: ribosomal RNA, 230 nt
Filed under: uncultured bacterium
Lineage: Bacteria
Description: partial 16S ribosomal RNA
Rfam family: Bacterial small subunit ribosomal RNA
Source: RNAcentral
AAAGCGCGCGUAGGUGGUUCGUUAAGUUGGAUGUGAAAUCCCCGGGCUCAACCUGGGAACUGCAUUCAAAACUGACGAGCUAGAGUAUGGUAGAGGGUGGUGGAAUUUCCUGUGUAGCGGUGAAAUGCGUAGAUAUAGGAAGGAACACCAGUGGCGAAGGCGACCACCUGGACUGAUACUGACACUGAGGUGCGAAAGCGUGGGGAGCAAACAGGAUUAGAUACCCGUGU